RNAcentral lists this transfer RNA (70 nucleotides) under Neotoma lepida (desert woodrat). It matches the Rfam family "tRNA". Rfam says of the family: Transfer RNA (tRNA) molecules are approximately 80 nucleotides in length. The record is from Rfam by way of RNAcentral. Lineage: Eukaryota; Metazoa; Chordata; Mammalia; Rodentia; Cricetidae.
GGGAAUGUGGCUCAGCUGACAGAGUGUUUGCCUGGCAUGCAUGAUGCCCUGGGUUCAAUCCCUAGCACCA